Molecule: non-coding RNA, 137 nt
Filed under: uncultured Paraprevotella sp.
Lineage: Bacteria; Pseudomonadati; Bacteroidota; Bacteroidia; Bacteroidales; Prevotellaceae
Description: Bacteroidete tryptophan peptide leader RNA
Rfam family: Bacteroidete tryptophan peptide leader RNA
Source: RNAcentral
AAAACAAAAAGACGAAUGAAAACAAUGAUCAUAAAUACAUAUUGGUGGUGGCGUCCGUUACAACUCCGACAGUCGUAAGGGAGCAGUGCUCGUAUGUAUAUAUGUAAAUAGGAUAAAGAAUCACAAAGAGCUCUGUC